Molecule: ribosomal RNA, 397 nt
Filed under: uncultured bacterium
Lineage: Bacteria
Description: partial 16S ribosomal RNA
Rfam family: Bacterial small subunit ribosomal RNA
Source: RNAcentral
AUACGUAGGGGGCGAGCGUUGUCCGGAAUGACUGGGCGUAAAGGGCGUGUAGGCGGCCGAUUAAGUCUGGAGUGAAAGUCCCGCUUUCAAGGUGGGAAUUGCUUUGGAGACUGGUUGGCUUGAGUGCGGAAGAGGUAAGUGGAAUUCCCAGUGUAGCGGUGAAAUGCGUAGAGAUUGGGAGGAACACCAGUGGCGAAGGCGACUUACUGGGCCGUAACUGACGCUGAGGCGCGAAAGCGUGGGGAGCGAACAGGAUUAGAUACCCUGGUAGUCCACGCUGUAAACGAUGAAUGCUAGGUGUAGGGGGUAUCGACCCCUCCUGUGCCGGAGUAAACGCAAUAAGCAUUCCGCCUGGGGAGUACGGCCGCAAGGUUGAAACUCAAAUGAAUUGGCGGGG